Molecule: ribosomal RNA, 368 nt
Filed under: uncultured organism
Description: bacterial SSU rRNA
Rfam family: Bacterial small subunit ribosomal RNA
Source: RNAcentral
CGGAGGAUCCAAGCGUUAUCCGGAAUCAUUGGGUUUAAAGGGUCCGUAGGCGGUUUUAUAAGUCAGUGGUGAAAUCCGGCAGCUUAACUGUCGAACUGCCAUUGAUACUGUAGAACUUGAAUUAUUGUGAAGUAACUAGAAUAUGUAGUGUAGCGGUGAAAUGCUUAGAUAUUACAUGGAAUACCAAUUGCGAAGGCAGGUUACUAACAAUACAUUGACGCUGAUGGACGAAAGCGUGGGGAGCGAACAGGAUUAGAUACCCUGGUAGUCCACGCCGUAAACGAUGGAUACUAGCUGUUUGGUAGCAAUACUGAGUGGCUAAGCGAGAGUGAUAAGUAUCCCACCUGGGGAGUACGAACGCAAGUUUG